Macaca mulatta (Rhesus monkey) is the source of this 373-nucleotide non-coding RNA. The record is from RefSeq and is a predicted model, not a curated record. Lineage: Eukaryota; Metazoa; Chordata; Mammalia; Primates; Cercopithecidae.
UUUCCUUCCUGACAGGUGUUCAGUAGCUCACUGUGAUUGCUGAGAAGUCAACACAGGGACAAAGCGGAGUCCUGCUUUGUCGUACAGGCCGGAGCGCAAUGGCAUGAUCUCGGCUCACUGCAACUUCCGCCUCCCGGGUUCAAGCAAUUCUCCUGUCUCAGCCUUGUCUGGGUCCCAGACCCAAAGACUGCUCCUCCAAACUCAGAGAUACCAACACCAGCAAAGCAGCUCCUCUUCUUCAGUACAGAUGCUUCUCAACAUACAAUGAGGUUGUAUCCUUACAAACACAUGGUAAGUUGAAAAUAUCGUUAAGUCAAAAAUGUAUUUUAAUAGUUCAAUAAACCCAUAGUAAAGUUGAAAAGUUGUAAGAAAA